GUGUCAGCAGCCGCGGUAAUACAGAGGGUGCAAGCGUUGUUCGGAUUUACUGGGCGUAAAGGGCGUGUAGGCGGAUCUGCAAGCCGAUGGUGAAAUCCCCGGGCUCAACCCUGGGUGGUCUGUCGGAACUGCAAGUCUAGAGAAAGCCAGAGGCAGGUGGAAUUCCAGGUGUAGAGGUGAAAUUCGUAGAGAUCUGGAGGAACACCGGCGGCGAAGGCGGCCUGCUGGGGCUUUUCUGACGCUGAGGCGCGAAAGCGUGGGGAGCAAACAGGAUUAGAUACCCUGGUAGUCC
Molecule: ribosomal RNA, 292 nt
Filed under: uncultured bacterium
Lineage: Bacteria
Description: partial 16S ribosomal RNA
Rfam family: Bacterial small subunit ribosomal RNA
Source: RNAcentral